AUAAUCUGUCUUAAUUAAAGAUAUUGAAUUUAACUUUUAAGUGAAAAGGCUUAAAUGAUCUGAAGGGACGAUAAGACCCUAUAAAACUUUAUAUUUAAGAGUAGAAAUUAGUUUUAUUUAAAGGUUACUAUUUUAUAAUAUUUGGUUGGGGCGACGGGGAUAGAAGAAAAAGUAACUGUCUUUUUUUUUUUACAAUAAUAUUUGGUUUAAUGAUCCUAAAAUGGAUUAAAGAUUAAGUUACUUUAGGGAUAACAGCGUAAUUUUCUUUAAGAGUUCUUAUCGACAGGAAAGUUUGCGACCUCGAUGUUGAAUUAAAGGUUCUUUAUAGAGUAGAAACUAUAACAGAAGGUCUGUU
This 355-nucleotide ribosomal RNA is filed under the name Lacunicambarus chimera. RNAcentral describes it as "partial large subunit ribosomal RNA". It matches the Rfam family "Bacterial large subunit ribosomal RNA", at positions 2048 to 2581 of the family's 2925-position model. The record is from RNAcentral. Lineage: Eukaryota; Metazoa; Arthropoda; Malacostraca; Decapoda; Cambaridae.